This 468-nucleotide ribosomal RNA is filed under the name uncultured bacterium. RNAcentral describes it as "partial 16S ribosomal RNA". It matches the Rfam family "Bacterial small subunit ribosomal RNA", at positions 28 to 507 of the family's 1533-position model. The record is from RNAcentral.
GACGAACGCUGGCGGCGUGCUUAACACAUGCAAGUCGAACGGAAAGGCCCUGCUUUUGUGGGGUGCUCGAGUGGCGAACGGGUGAGUAACACGUGAGUAACCUGCCCUUGACUUUGGGAUAACUUCAGGAAACUGGGGCUAAUACCGGAUAGGAGCUCCUGCUGCAUGGUGGGGGUUGGAAAGUUUCGGCGGUUGGGGAUGGACUCGCGGCUUAUCAGCUUGUUGGUGGGGUAGUGGCUUACCAAGGCUUGGACGGGUAGCCGGCCUGGGAGGGUGACCGGCCACAUUGGGACUGAGAUACGCCCCAGACGCCUACGGGAGGCAGCAGUGGGGAAUCUUGUACAAUGGGCGGAAGCCUGAUGCGGAGACGCCGCGUGCGGGAUGCCGGCCUUCGGGUUGUAAACCGCUUUCGCCUGUGACGAAGCGUGAGUGACGGUAAUGGGUAAAGAAGCACCGGCUAACUACGUG